GUACUGCUGAGGAGUCCCAUACUAGGACGAAACGUCCUUCCAGUGC
Molecule: non-coding RNA, 46 nt
Filed under: Schistosoma mattheei
Lineage: Eukaryota; Metazoa; Platyhelminthes; Trematoda; Strigeidida; Schistosomatidae
Source: RNAcentral